Molecule: long non-coding RNA, 493 nt
Filed under: Pongo abelii (Sumatran orangutan)
Lineage: Eukaryota; Metazoa; Chordata; Mammalia; Primates; Hominidae
Description: lincRNA
Source: RNAcentral
GAUUCAGACCUUGACAGUUGUAACUGAUAGACAGGGCUGGGGCAAUGCUGAUGAAAGGCAAAUUCCUGAGAGAAAAAUCACCCAAAUUUUUCAGUGCCUUCUCUAGCUUUCUAGAAGUUGUUAUGAGUGGACCUGACUACCUAGAGAGAGUAAUACAGAAGCUCCAUGCCGAUCACAGCUACCUCAUUACCAAGUUCCUCCAAGAUGGCCGCCCCUGAGGAGAAUCAUCAACUGGGCUUUACGGAAGAGAGAAAUCCAAACGACCAUCAGCAACAAAUGAAAGACUGAAGUUGAAAGGAAAAUGGCUUCCCCAGCAGCAGGAAUUGCUGAGAAAGUGAUAUUUAGUCAAGUGCUAAGAAGAGUGCUAUAAAACAUUGUUUAACCUGCAGAAGCAGUGUAUGUCUGUUGUAAAAAAAUAAAAUAAAUAAACACUAAAGAAAAACAUGUUUUUUAAAAAGUUCACUUCUACUCUAAUUGUUUCAAUCUUCUCCAG